AUACUUACCUGGCAGGGGAGAUACCAUGAUCAUGAAGGUGGUUCACUAAGUGAGGCUCGGCCAUUGCACUUCGGUUGUGCUGACCGUGCGAAUUCCUCAAAUAUUGGGAAUCUCGACUGCAUAAUUUGUGGUAGUUGGGGACUGCGUCCGCGCUCUCCUAGA
Small nuclear RNA from Hippoglossus stenolepis (Pacific halibut), 162 nucleotides. RefSeq annotates it as U1 spliceosomal RNA. NCBI's taxonomy places the organism in Eukaryota, Metazoa, Chordata, Actinopteri, Pleuronectiformes, Pleuronectidae. The record is from RefSeq and is a predicted model, not a curated record. The transcript has a single exon.